RNAcentral lists this ribosomal RNA (407 nucleotides) under uncultured bacterium. RNAcentral describes it as "bacterial SSU rRNA". It matches the Rfam family "Bacterial small subunit ribosomal RNA", at positions 355 to 776 of the family's 1533-position model. The record is from RNAcentral.
UGGGGAAUUUUGUGCAAUGGGCGAAACCCUGACACAGCGACACCGCGUGAGCGAAGAAGCCCUUUGGGGUGUAAAGCUCUGUCGGCUGGAACGAAAAAAAUGACGGUACCAGCAGAGGAAGCAUCGGCUAACUACGUGCCAGCAGCCGCGGUAAGACGUAGGAUGCGAGCGUUGUCCGGAUUUAUUGGGCGUAAAGAGUUCGUAGGUGGUUUGUUAAGUCUGAUGUUAAAGACUGAGGCUCAACCUCGGAAAUGCAUUGGAUACCGGCAGACUGGAGUGCAGUAGAGGCAAGUGGAAUUCCCAGUGUAGCGGUGAAAUGCGUAGAUAUUGGGAAGAACACCAGUGGCGUAAGCGACUUGCUGGGCUGUAACUGACACUGAGGAACGAAAGCCAGGGGAGCGAAUGGG